Molecule: ribosomal RNA, 492 nt
Filed under: uncultured bacterium
Lineage: Bacteria
Description: partial 16S ribosomal RNA
Rfam family: Bacterial small subunit ribosomal RNA
Source: RNAcentral
AGUGAACGCUGGCGGUAGGCCUAACACAUGCAAGUCGAACGGCAGCACAGUAAGAGCUUGCUCUUACGGGUGGCGAGUGGCGGACGGGUGAGGAAUACAUCGGAAUCUACUUUUUCGUGGGGGAUAACGUAGGGAAACUUACGCUAAUACCGCAUACGACCUACGGGUGAAAGCAGGGGAUCUUCGGACCUUGCGCGAUUGAAUGAGCCGAUGUCGGAUUAGCUAGUUGGCGGGGUAAAGGCCCACCAAGGCGACGAUCCGUAGCUGGUCUGAGAGGAUGAUCGGACACACUGGAACUGAGACACGGUCCAGACUCCUAAGGGAGGCAGCAGUGGGGAAUAUGGGACAAGGGGGGGGAUCGUGAUCCAGCCAUACCGCGUGGGUGAAGAAGGCCUUCGGGUUGUGAAGCCCUUGUGUUGGGAAAGAAAAGCAGCAGGUUAAUACCCCGCUGUUCUGACGGUACCCAAAGAAUAAGCACCGGCUAACUUCGUG